RNAcentral lists this ribosomal RNA (521 nucleotides) under uncultured bacterium. RNAcentral's name for it is "bacterial SSU rRNA". It matches the Rfam family "Archaeal small subunit ribosomal RNA", at positions 345 to 866 of the family's 1478-position model. The record is from RNAcentral.
AACCUCCGCAAUGUGAGAAAUCGCGACGGGGGGAUCCCAAGUGCCAUUCCUAACGGGAUGGCUUUUCAUUAGUGUAAAAAGCUUUUAGAAUAAGAGCUGGGCAAGACCGGUGCCAGCCGCCGCGGUAACACCGGCAGCUCGAGUGGUAGCUGUUUUUAUUGGGCCUAAAGCGUUCGUAGCCGGUUUAAUAAGUCUCUGGUGAAAUCCUGUAGCUUAACUGUGGGAAUUGCUGGAGAUACUAUUAGACUUGAGACCGGGAGAGGUUAGAGGUACUCCCAGGGUAGAGGUGAAAUUCUGUAAUCCUGGGAGGACCGCCUGUUGCGAAGGCGUCUAACUGGAACGGUUCUGACGGUGAGGGACGAAAGUUAGGGGCGCGAACCGGAUUAGAUACCCGGGUAGUCCUAACUGUAAACGAUGCGGACUUGGUGUUGGGGUGGCUUUGAGCUGCUCCAGUGCCGAAGGGAAGCUGUUAAGUCCGCCGCCUGGGAAGUACGGUCGCAAGACUGAAACUUAAAGGAAGU